This 628-nucleotide ribosomal RNA is filed under the name Thecaphora italica. RNAcentral describes it as "LSU rRNA". It matches the Rfam family "Eukaryotic large subunit ribosomal RNA", at positions 45 to 639 of the family's 3401-position model. Lineage: Eukaryota; Fungi; Basidiomycota; Ustilaginomycetes; Urocystidales; Glomosporiaceae. The record is from RNAcentral.
AAUAAGCGGAGGAAAAGAAACUAACAAGGAUUCCCCUAGUAACGGCGAGUGAAGAGGGAAAGAGCCCAAGUUUGAAAGCUGGCACCUUGGGGUGUCCGCAUUGUAAACUCGAGAAGUGUUAUCCGCGCCGGACCAGGCUUUUUAAGUCCAUUGGAAUAUGGCACCAUAGAGGGUGAUAGUCCCUUUCAUGGUCUGGAACCCCCGGGGCUUUGUGAUGCGCUCUCCAAGAGUCGAGUUGUUUGGGAAUGCAGCUCAAAAUGGGUGGUAAAUGUCAUCUAAGGCUAAAUAUAGAGGAGAGACCGAUAGCGAACAAGUACCGUGAGGGAAAGAUGAAAAGAACUUUGGAAAGAGAGUUAAACAGUACGUGAAAUUGCCGGAAGGGAAGGACAGGGAGUCAGACAUGGACCUUGCGGAUUCAGCCUGACCUUUCGAGGUUGGGUGUAUUUCCGCUUGGACCAGGCCAGCAUCGAUUUUGGCUGCCGGAUAUGGGUGAGGGGAACGUGGCAUUUGUUUCGGCAAAUGUGUUAUAGCCCUUGACUUGGUACGGCGGCUGGGAUCGAGGAACGCAGUGCACCCUUCGGGGCAGGCCUUCGGGCACCUUUGCACAUAGGAUGUUGGCUUAAUGGCU